CCCUUAGAUGUUCUGGACCGCACGCGUGCUACACUGGGUGGAUCAGCGGGUCAGGUUGCGCGAAAGUGUUUCCUAAUCUUUAAAUCCGCUCGUGAUGGGGAUUGACGGUUGCAAUUUUCCGUCAUGAACGAGGAAUGCCUAGUAAACGCAAGUCAUCAGCUUGCAUUGAUUACGUCCCUGCCCUUUGUACACACCGCCCGUCGCUCCUACCGAUUGAAUGAUCCGAUGAAUAUCAUGGAUUGAGGAUGCAAGUAGGUUAGCCUAUCUUCAUCUUCGAGAAGUGAAGUAAAUCUUAUCAUUUAGAGGAAGGAGAAGUCGUAACA
Molecule: ribosomal RNA, 323 nt
Filed under: uncultured eukaryote
Lineage: Eukaryota
Description: partial 18S ribosomal RNA
Rfam family: Eukaryotic small subunit ribosomal RNA
Source: RNAcentral